CAGCCGCCGCGGUAAAACAGAGGGUGCGAGCGUUAAUCGGAUUUACUGGGCGUAAAGCGUGCGUAGGCGGCUUCUUAAGUCGGAUGUGAAAUCCCUGAGCUUAACUUAGGAAUUGCAUUCGAUACUGGGAAGCUAGAGUAUGGGAGAGGAUGGUAGAAUUCCAGGUGUAGCGGUGAAAUGCGUAGAGAUCUGGAGGAAUACCGAUGGCGAAGGCAGCCAUCUGGCCUAAUACUGACGCUGAGGUACGAAAGCAUGGGGAGCAAACAGGAUUAGAGACCCGCGUAGUCCCUGUCUCUUAUAC
This 301-nucleotide ribosomal RNA is filed under the name uncultured bacterium. RNAcentral's name for it is "partial 16S ribosomal RNA". It matches the Rfam family "Bacterial small subunit ribosomal RNA", at positions 509 to 807 of the family's 1533-position model. The record is from RNAcentral.